This 193-nucleotide small nuclear RNA is filed under the name Neofusicoccum parvum UCRNP2. RNAcentral's name for it is "U2 spliceosomal RNA". It matches the Rfam family "U2 spliceosomal RNA". Rfam says of the family: U2 is a small nuclear RNA (snRNA) component of the spliceosome (involved in pre-mRNA splicing). Complementary binding between U2 snRNA (in an area lying towards the 5' end but 3' to hairpin I) and the branchpoint sequence (BPS) of the intron results the bulging out of an unpaired adenosine, on the BPS, which initiates a nucleophilic attack at the intronic 5' splice site, thus starting the first of two transesterification reactions that mediate splicing. The record is from Rfam by way of RNAcentral. Lineage: Eukaryota; Fungi; Ascomycota; Dothideomycetes; Botryosphaeriales; Botryosphaeriaceae.
AGCUCUCCUUUGCCAUUUGGCUGAGAUCAAGAUGCAGUAACUGUUCUUCUUAGUUUAAUCUCUAGGACGUGCCUACGGGUACUUUAGUGAUUAAACCAGUUUUUGAAACCCGAUUGGCGGCCGCUGAACUCCGUUCAUGUCGCUGGUCACAGUGUCGCCAGUAUUGCACUGUCUCUGGCUGACGCAAAUCCCU